Non-coding RNA from Merluccius polli (Benguela hake), 70 nucleotides. Lineage: Eukaryota; Metazoa; Chordata; Actinopteri; Gadiformes; Merlucciidae. The record is from the annotation of a GenBank genome assembly.
UAGCUCAACCGGCAGAGCAUGGCGUUAAGGUCGCCAGGGUCCGGGGUUUGAUUCCCACUAAUUACUACCA